CGGGCGGACGGGUGAGUAACGCGUGGACAACCUGCCCUAUGCAGGGGGAUAACAUCCGGAAACGGGUGCUAAUACCGCAUAAGCGCACAGUACCGCAUGGUACAGUGUGAAAAGCUGAGGCGGCAUAGGAUGGGUCCGCGUUGGAUUAGGCAGUUGGCGGGGUAACGGCCCACCAAACCGACGAUCCAUAGCCGGCCUGAGAGGGUGGACGGCCACAUUGGGACUGAGACACGGCCCAGACUCCUACGGAAGGCAGCAG
This 259-nucleotide ribosomal RNA is filed under the name uncultured bacterium. Its description in RNAcentral is "partial 16S ribosomal RNA". It matches the Rfam family "Bacterial small subunit ribosomal RNA", at positions 95 to 354 of the family's 1533-position model. The record is from RNAcentral.